UCUGCAACAAACUGAAAGGACCAGCAAGAGGAGGAGUGUUAAAGAGAACAGUUUCCUUACUCGAGAUGCUCUUGACAACUGUCUUCAGAAUCCUGUGAGGAAGGGUUAUCCACUCCCACCACUGCCACUGGACAGACAAAUCCCAGUGCUGGGGCGCUCAGUGAGCACUGGAGGUACCGACUAGGGUGGCAGAGUAAAGAUGCCUUUAGGGAAGCAGCAAGUGGAAAGAGGAAAAUAGAGAAUAUCCUUUACAGAGUGAGGGAAGGGAGGCAGGACCAAUGAGCAGAAUGUGUCUAUCGAGCACAUUCUGGAUGGGGAAACCAGAAGAGCCAUGCCACAGAAUCCUCUGGAGUCUCAUUCCUGAACACUGUUUACGGAACUGUGAAUCCCCAUGGUUAGCAUGCUGUCUGUGAAGUGAUAGAUGCUAUCAAAGGCUCACACACACAUGACAGAAACAGGCGAUAUACAAGGACAGCAAGAGAUCUCACGAGGAUUGUGUUUACAAAUGACCCAGAAACUCCAGAGAACCCCAAAUCAACUCUGUAGAGCUAGCCACACCCGUUGGCCUGGCAGAGACAGACUGCUGGCUGCGUCUCUCUAAGAGAAUGAGGUAACGUUUAUGACCUCUCCAC
Mastomys coucha (southern multimammate mouse) is the source of this 632-nucleotide long non-coding RNA. RefSeq lists it as uncharacterized. The record is from RefSeq and is a predicted model, not a curated record. The transcript is spliced from 3 exons. NCBI's taxonomy places the organism in Eukaryota, Metazoa, Chordata, Mammalia, Rodentia, Muridae.